RNAcentral lists this ribosomal RNA (253 nucleotides) under uncultured bacterium. RNAcentral describes it as "partial 16S ribosomal RNA". It matches the Rfam family "Bacterial small subunit ribosomal RNA", at positions 524 to 776 of the family's 1533-position model. The record is from RNAcentral.
UACGUAGGGUGCAAGCGUUGUCCGGAAUUAUUGGGCGUAAAGAGCUCGUAGGCGGUUUGUUGCGUCGGCUGUGAAAUCCCGAGGCUCAACCUCGGGUCUGCAGUCGAUACGGGCAGACUAGAGUUCGGUAGGGGAGACUGGAAUUCCUGGUGUAGCGGUGAAAUGCGCAGAUAUCAGGAGGAACACCGGUGGCGAAGGCGGGUCUCUGGGCCGAAACUGACGCUGAGGAGCGAAAGCGUGGGGAGCGAACAGG